RNAcentral lists this ribosomal RNA (253 nucleotides) under uncultured bacterium. Its description in RNAcentral is "partial 16S ribosomal RNA". It matches the Rfam family "Bacterial small subunit ribosomal RNA", at positions 524 to 776 of the family's 1533-position model. The record is from RNAcentral.
UACGGAGGGUGCAAGCGUUAUCCGGAUUCACUGGGUUUAAAGGGUGCGUAGGUGGGCUUGUAAGUCAGUGGUGAAAUCUCCGUGCUUAACAUGGAAACUGCCAUUGAUACUAUAGGUCUUGAAUUAUCUGGAGGUCAGCGGAAUAUGUCAUGUAGCGGUGAAAUGCUUAGAUAUGACAUAGAACACCGAUUGCGAAGGCAGCUGGCUACAGGUCGAUUGACACUGAGGCACGAAAGCGUGGGGAUCAAACAGG